Molecule: ribosomal RNA, 519 nt
Filed under: uncultured Glomeromycotina
Lineage: Eukaryota; Fungi; Glomeromycota
Description: SSU rRNA
Rfam family: Eukaryotic small subunit ribosomal RNA
Source: RNAcentral
AGCAGCCGCGGUAAUUCCAGCUCCAAUAGCGUAUAUUAAAGUUGUUGCAGUUAAAAAGCUCGUAGUUGAAUUUCAGGCCUGGCUGGACGGUCCGCCCUUCGGGUGAGUACUGUCUGUGGUCGGGUCCUACCUUCUGGCGAAGCGUCAUGGCCUUAACCGGCCGUGGCGGGGAACCAGGACUUUUACUGUGAAAAAAUUAGAGUGUUCAAAGCAGGCAAUCGCUUGGAUACAUUAGCAUGGAAUAAUGGAAUAGGACAAUGGUUCUAUUUGUUGGUUUCUAGGACCGUUGUAAUGAUUAAUAGGGAUAGUUGGGGGCAUUAGUAUUCAAUUGUCAGAGGUGAAAUUCUUGGAUUUAUUGAAGACUAACUACUGCGAAAGCAUUUGCCAAGGAUGUUUUCUAUUAAUCAAGAACGAAAGUUAGGGGAUCGAAGACGAUCAGAUACCGUCGUAGUCUUAACCAUAAACUAUGCCGACUAGGAAUCGGGCGAUGUUGAAAAAUGACGCGCUCGGCACCUCACU